Molecule: unclassified non-coding RNA, 1235 nt
Filed under: Hevea brasiliensis (rubber tree)
Lineage: Eukaryota; Viridiplantae; Streptophyta; Magnoliopsida; Malpighiales; Euphorbiaceae
Source: RNAcentral
UGCAAGAAAAAGUCUGUAAAUCAAGUAAUAGAAGAAUAGCAGCUGCAGUUGAUGGGGACAAUGGUGUUCCAACACUAACACCCUUGCAAGAAGCAGAUGCCAAGAAACCUAGUAAACAUAAAGUUGCUUUCAUAAUUGGUGGUGUUGGUGCAGCUUUGCUUGUGAUUGUCAUUGUAGUAGUUGUAUACGCGUGCUUGAUGCAUGCUAAGAAAUUCCUAAGGCAAGCAUCUGAGACAGCAUCUUCUAUACCAUCUCCUCCAGGUAAGUAGAGUGUGCUGCCUUAUGGUACAGCACAAGAUAUAUUGUAAAUUUCUUUUGUUUUGGAGUACAGGGUGUGAAAUAAGCAGAAUAUAUCAUUUAAUGACUAUUUGUUGCAGUCCUGUUGGGUGAUGCUCAACAUCCAACUGGUGAGCCACUUCAUGCAGAGGACAUAAUGUAAUAAUGUGCAUUUCUCGAAACAAAGUUUCUAGACAGUUCAAUCUUCGAAAAUCUUUAAGAAGGGGCAAAAAAAUAGUUGACCCAGUAAUUUCUUAAAACUGAUACUUCUGUUCCUGUGUAAAUAAUUAGUUAUUGAACUUUUUAUUUGCAUAUGCAUAUCUGCGUUGACAGAGUUUCCAGUCAUAGUGUGAUUAUCCAAAUAGGUCUGCAAAUAAAAGGGCUUCAUCAUGUAGAGGACAGUUUAACUUCCAGCUAAUAAGUUGCAAGAUAAGAAGUCAGAUGACUAACAAUUUGCUGACUGUGGUUAGAAUACUGCUGAAAAAUGGUUGGAUAUUAUCUGAUAACUAUGGUGUAUGAUCAUGCAUAAAUUUAUAUCUGUAAAAUUGAGAAACAUAAGGUUAUGAAAGUGACAUUUAUUCCCGGAAGGGAUGUAACAAUUGAAAUAUGAGAAUUGUGAAAGAAUUUCAGAUUAUUUGUUGUCCUAGUUAUCUUCCACCAUAGACAACAUUGUAAAUGUUCUGUUAAGUCUUUCAAGCUAGUGCAUCUGAUAUCUUUUACUGCAUUCCGCACUGAUUUUCUUUUACUAUAAACAAUGUUGUAAAUGUGUUGCUAAGGCCAACCUUGUACUAGCUGUUGAACCCUUGCAUGUGCAUGUGGUUUCAUGUGUAAAUUCUAAGAAGUCAUGAAGGUUUAUGCUUGGGUAUGUGGCCUGCAUGUGGUAUUCAGGUGCUUUGAUAUCAAAUCAUUUUUGUGUUCUCAAGACUUGGAAAGUUAUGUUGAUAAGCUCUCUCUCUCUC